AGAUUGAACGCUGGCGGCAGGCCUAACACAUGCAAGUCGAGCGGCAGCACGGGUACUUGUACCUGGUGGCGAGCGGCGGACGGGUGAGUAAUGCCUAGGAAUCUGCCUGGUAGUGGGGGAUAACGGCUCGGAAACGGACGCUAAUACCGCAUACGUCCUACAGGAGAAAGCAGGGGACCUUCGGGCCUUGCGCUAUCAGAUGAGCCUAGGUCGGAUUAGCUAGUUGGUGAGGUAAUGGCUCACCAAGGCGACGAUCCGUAACUGGUCUGAGAGGAUGAUCAGUCACACUGGAACUGAGACACGGUCCAGACUCCUACGGGAGGCAGCAGUGGGAAUAUUGGACAAUGGGCGAAAGCCUGAUCCAGCCAUGCCGCGUGUGUGAAGAAGGUCUUCGGAUUGUAAAGCACUUUAAGUUGGAGAAGGCAGUUACCUAAUACGUAUCUGUUUGACGUUACGACAGAAUAAGCACCGGCUAACUCUGCG
RNAcentral lists this ribosomal RNA (483 nucleotides) under uncultured soil bacterium. Its description in RNAcentral is "bacterial SSU rRNA". It matches the Rfam family "Bacterial small subunit ribosomal RNA", at positions 26 to 507 of the family's 1533-position model. The record is from RNAcentral.